RNAcentral lists this unclassified non-coding RNA (374 nucleotides) under soil metagenome. RNAcentral describes it as "partial contains 5.8S ribosomal RNA, internal transcribed spacer 2, and large subunit ribosomal RNA". The stretch from base 1 to 120 matches the Rfam family "5.8S ribosomal RNA", at positions 35 to 154 of the family's 154-position model. The record is from RNAcentral.
GAUGAAGAACGUAGCGAAAUGCGAUAAGUAAUGUGAAUUGCAGAAUUCAGUGAACCAUCGAAUCUUUGAACGCACAUUGCGCCCGGCAGUAAUCUGCCGGGCAUGCCUGUCCGAGCGUCAUUUCUCCCCUCGAGCGCAGCUUUCCCCCCCGGGGGAGGGCCGCGCCCGGUGUUGGGGCGCUACGGAGGAGCCAGCGCUCCCCCGUAGGCCCCGAAAUGUAGUGGCGGUCCCGCCGCGGCGCCCCCUGCGUAGUAGUUUUACAACUCGCAUCGGGUCCCGGCGGAGGCCAGCCGUCAAACCCCCCAACUUCAAUAGUUUGACCUCGGAUCAGGUAGGGUUACCCGCUGAACUUAAGCAUAUCAAUAAGCGGAGGA